This 305-nucleotide ribosomal RNA is filed under the name uncultured bacterium. Its description in RNAcentral is "bacterial SSU rRNA". It matches the Rfam family "Bacterial small subunit ribosomal RNA", at positions 335 to 632 of the family's 1533-position model. The record is from RNAcentral.
UUACCUACGGGGGGCAGCAGUAGGGAAUCUUCGGCAAUGGACGAAAGUCUGACCGAGCAACGCCGCGUGAGUGAAGAAGGUUUUCGGAUCGUAAAACUCUGUUGUUAGAGAAGAAAGUGCGUGAGAGUAACUGUUCACGUUUCGACGGUAUCUAACCAGAAAGCCACGGCUAACUACGUGCCAGCAGCCGCGGUAAUACGUAGGUGGCAAGCGUUAUCCGGAUUUAUUGGGCGUAAAGGGAACGCAGGCGGUCUUUUAAGUCUGAUGUGAAAGCCUUCGGCUUAACCGGAGUAGUGCAUUGGAAA